RNAcentral lists this ribosomal RNA (460 nucleotides) under uncultured bacterium. Its description in RNAcentral is "partial 16S ribosomal RNA". It matches the Rfam family "Bacterial small subunit ribosomal RNA", at positions 338 to 795 of the family's 1533-position model. The record is from RNAcentral.
CCUACGUGAUGCAGCAGUGAGGAAUAUUGGUCAAUGGGCGCGAGCCUGAACCAGCCAAGUCGCGUGAAGGAUGAAUGCCCUACGGGUUGUAAACUUCUUUUAUAAAGGAAUAAAGUGAGGCACGUGUGCCUUUUUGUAUGUACUUUAUGAAUAAGGAUCGGCUAACUCCGUGCCAGCAGCCGUGGUAAUACGGAGGAUCCGAGCGUUAUCCGGAUUUAUUGGGUUUAAAGGGAGCGUAGAUGGUUUGUUAAGUCAGUUGUGAAAGUUUGCGGCUCAACCGUAAAAGUGCAAUUGAUACUGGAAGUCUUGAGUACAGUUGAGGUAGGCGGAAUUCGUGGUGUAGCGGUGAAAUGCUUAGAUAUCACGAAGAACUCCGAUUGCGAAGGCAGCUUACUAAACUGCCACUGACAUUGAUGCUCGAAAGUGUGGGUAUCAAACAGGAUUAGAUACCCUAGUAGUC